Molecule: ribosomal RNA, 484 nt
Filed under: uncultured bacterium
Lineage: Bacteria
Description: partial 16S ribosomal RNA
Rfam family: Bacterial small subunit ribosomal RNA
Source: RNAcentral
AUUGAACGCUGGCGGCAGGCCUAACACAUGCAAGUCGAGCGGAUGAAGGGAGCUUGCUCCUGGAUUCAGCGGCGGACGGGUGAGUAAUGCCCAGGAAUCUGCCUGGUAGUGGGGGAUAACGUCCGGAAACGGGCGCUAAUACCGCAUACGUCCUGAGGGAGAAAGUGGGGGAUCUUCGGACCUCACGCUAUCAGAUGAGCCUAGGUCGGAUUAGCUAGUUGGUGGGGUAAAGGCCUACCAAGGCGACGAUCCGUAACUGGUCUGAGAGGAUGAUCAGUCACACUGGAACUGAGACACGGUCCAGACUCCUACGGGAGGCAGCAGUGGGGAAUAUUGGGCAAUGGGCGAAAGCCUGAUCCAGCCAUGCCGCGUGUGUGAAGAAGGUCUUCGGAUUGUAAAGCACUUUAAGUUGGGAGGAAGGGCAGUAAGUUAAUACCUUGCUGUUUUGACGUUACCAACAGAAUAAGCACCGGCUAACUUCGUG